RNAcentral lists this ribosomal RNA (325 nucleotides) under Solobacterium moorei. RNAcentral's name for it is "bacterial SSU rRNA". It matches the Rfam family "Bacterial small subunit ribosomal RNA", at positions 150 to 472 of the family's 1533-position model. The record is from RNAcentral. Lineage: Bacteria; Bacillati; Bacillota; Erysipelotrichia; Erysipelotrichales; Erysipelotrichaceae.
CUGGAAACGGGGACUAAUACCGGAUAGGUAAUCGGAAGGCAUCUUCUGGUUAUUAAAGGUUAAAAACACUGGUGGAUGGGCUUAUGGCGCAUUAGUUAGUUGGUGAGGUAACGGCCCACCAAGACGAUGAUGCGUAGCCGGCCUGAGAGGGUGAACGGCCACAUUGGGACUGAGACACGGCCCAGACUCCUACGGGAGGCAGCAGUAGGGAAUUUUCGGCAAUGGGGGCAGCCCUGACCGAGCAACGCCGCGUGAGUGAAGACGGCCUUCGGGUUGUAAAGCUCUGUUGUAAGGGAAGAACGGUAGAUAGAGAAUAUCUAAGUGA